CCCCAGUAACGGCGAGUGAAGCGGCAACAGCUCAAAUUUGAAAUCUGGCCCCCCCCCCCCCGGGGGGCCCGAUUUUUAUUUUGCAAAGGAUGUUUUGGGCGAGGCCCCUUCCGAUUUCCCGGGAACGGGACCCCCCAAAGGGGGAAAGCCCCGUCGGGUCGGACCCCAACCCUCUGUAAAGCUCCUUCGACAAGUCGAGUAUUUUGGGAAUGCUGCUCAAAAGGGGAGGUUUUUGUUUUCUAAAGUUAAAUACCGGCCAAAAACCGAUAGCGCAAAAUUAAAGUGAUCAAAAAAUGAAAAGCCCCUUGAAAGGGGGGUUAAACAUUACUUGAAUUUGUUGAAAGGGAACCGCUCGUGACCAGACUUGGGGGGGGCGGAUCACCCGGCUUUCUCCCCGGCCCACUCCCCCCGUCCCAGGCCAGCUUCAUUUCGCGCCGGGGAAAAAAGGCGGCGGAAACUUGGCUCCUCAGGGAGUGUUAUACCCCGCCGCGCCAUGCCCCGGGGGCGGACUGAGGGCCGCGCAUCACUGCAGGGAUGCUGGCGUAAGGGUCACCAGCGACCCGUCUUGAAACCCGGGCAAAGGAGUCCUCCUCGUAUGCAAGUGUUCGGGUGUCAAACCCCUACGCGAAAUGAAAUUGAACUUGGGUGAAAGCUUCGGCGCAUCAUCAACCGAUCCUGAUGUUCUCGAAUGGAUUUGAGUAGGACCAUACGGGGCCGGACCCAAAGAAAGGUGAACUAUGCCUGUGUAGGGUGAAACCCAGAGGAAACUCUGGUGGAAGGCUCGCAGCGGUUCUGACGUGCAAAUCGUAUCGUCAAACAUGGGGCAUGGGGGGCGAAAGACU
Molecule: ribosomal RNA, 842 nt
Filed under: Aschersonia sp. JZQ-2014a
Lineage: Eukaryota; Fungi; Ascomycota; Sordariomycetes; Hypocreales; Clavicipitaceae
Description: partial 28S ribosomal RNA
Rfam family: Eukaryotic large subunit ribosomal RNA
Source: RNAcentral